RNAcentral lists this ribosomal RNA (434 nucleotides) under uncultured bacterium. Its description in RNAcentral is "partial 16S ribosomal RNA". It matches the Rfam family "Bacterial small subunit ribosomal RNA", at positions 29 to 507 of the family's 1533-position model. The record is from RNAcentral.
AGCGAACGCUGGCGGCAGGCCUAACACAUGCAAGUCGAACGAACCUUUCGGGGUUAGUGGCGGACGGGUGAGUAACACGUGGGAACGUGCCUUUAGGUUCGGAAUAACUCAGGGAAACUUGUGCUAAUACCGAAUGUGCCCUUCGGGGGAAAGAUUAAUCGCCUUUAGAGCGGCCCGCGUCUGAUUAGCUAGUUGGUUGAGGUAAUGGCUCACCAAGGCGACGAUCAGUAGCUGGUCUGAGAGGAUGAUCAGCCACAUUGGGACUGAGACACGGCCCAAACUCCUACGGGAGGCAGCAAUGGGGAAUCUUGCGCAAUGGGCGAAAGCCUGACGCAGCCAUGCCGCGUGAAUGAUGAAGGUCUUAGGAUUGUAAAAUUCUUUCACCGGGGACGAUAAUGACGGUACCCGGAGAAGAAGCCCCGGCUAACUUCGUG